This 430-nucleotide ribosomal RNA is filed under the name bacterium. Its description in RNAcentral is "partial 16S ribosomal RNA". It matches the Rfam family "Bacterial small subunit ribosomal RNA", at positions 355 to 776 of the family's 1533-position model. The record is from RNAcentral.
UGGGGAAUAUUGGACAAUGGGCGCAAGCCUGAUCCAGCCAUGCCGCGUGUGUGAAGAAGGCCUUUUGGUUGUAAAGCACUUUAAGCGAGGAGGAGGCUACUUGGAUUAAUACUCUAGGAUAGUGGACGUUACUCGCAGAAUAAGCACCGGCUAACUCUGUGCCAGCAGCCGCGGUAAUACAGAGGGUGCGAGCGUUAAUCGGAUUUACUGGGCGUAAAGCGUGCGUAGGCGGCUUUUUAAGUCGGAUGUGAAAUCCCUGAGCUUAACUUAGGAAUUGCAUUCGAUACUGGGAAGCUAGAGUAUGGGAGAGGAUGGUAGAAUGCCAGGUGUAGCGGUGAAAUGCGUAGGGAUCUGGAGGAAUACCGAUGGCGAAGGCAGCCAUCUGGCCUAAUACUGACGCUGAGGUACGAAAGCAUGGGGAGCAAACAGG